Molecule: small RNA, 457 nt
Filed under: Demospongiae sp. GW33283
Lineage: Eukaryota; Metazoa; Porifera; Demospongiae
Description: partial large subunit ribosomal RNA
Source: RNAcentral
AAAAGAACUUUGGAGAGAGAGUCAAAUAGUACGUGAAACCGUCGGGAGGGAAACGAACGAGGUCGGUGCGGCGAUCGCGUAGGCUCAGGCGGUGCCGAGGGGAGCGGCGGGCGAGCGUAGAUCGUUCCCCGCCGUGCAACCGAGGCGCCGACGUAUUUCUCGCGAUCGCGGACCAGCGGCGGUUGGAUCCGGGGCAGAAGGGGCGAAGGAAGGUGCGCAGGCGGAGCCCGCUCCGCAGGCAGUUAUAGACUUUGCAAUCCGGCGCCCGGAUCCGACCGAGGAAGUGGGCAGCGUUUGCCCGUGUGGUGCACGCCGUACGGCGGGGCCCCCCUAUGGAGGUGAGCCGCUCUUCGGGGACUGCGUGCAGUGUCUGUCGAAGCGGUGAGCCUGUCGUGGGACGGUGCCACUUGUGCGCCAGUGCCGCCGGUAUUCGGACGGCCUCGUCCGACCCGUCUUG